RNAcentral lists this ribosomal RNA (594 nucleotides) under Campylobacter jejuni. Its description in RNAcentral is "bacterial SSU rRNA". It matches the Rfam family "Bacterial small subunit ribosomal RNA", at positions 56 to 666 of the family's 1533-position model. The record is from RNAcentral. Lineage: Bacteria; Pseudomonadati; Campylobacterota; Epsilonproteobacteria; Campylobacterales; Campylobacteraceae.
UGCAGUCGAACGAUGAAGCUUUUAGCUUGCUAGAAGUGGAUUAGUGGCGCACGGGUGAGUAAGGUAUAGUUAAUCUGCCCUACACAAGAGGACAACAGUUGGAAACGACUGCUAAUACUCUAUACUCCUGCUUAACACAAGUUGAGUAGGGAAAGUUUUUCGGUGUAGGAUGAGACUAUAUAGUAUCAGCUAGUUGGUAAGGUAAUGGCUUACCAAGGCUAUGACGCUUAACUGGUCUGAGAGGAUGAUCAGUCACACUGGAACUGAGACACGGUCCAGACUCCUACGGGAGGCAGCAGUAGGGAAUAUUGCGCAAUGGGGGAAACCCUGACGCAGCAACGCCGCGUGGAGGAUGACACUUUUCGGAGCGUAAACUCCUUUUCUUAGGGAAGAAUUCUGACGGUACCUAAGGAAUAAGCACCGGCUAACUCCGUGCCAGCAGCCGCGGUAAUACGGAGGGUGCAAGCGUUACUCGGAAUCACUGGGCGUAAAGGGCGCGUAGGCGGAUUAUCAAGUCUCUUGUGAAAUCUAAUGGCUUAACCAUUAAACUGCUUGGGAAACUGAUAGUCUAGAGUGAGGGAGAGGUAGAUGGAA